RNAcentral lists this ribosomal RNA (1912 nucleotides) under human gut metagenome. Its description in RNAcentral is "bacterial LSU rRNA". It matches the Rfam family "Bacterial large subunit ribosomal RNA", at positions 3 to 2011 of the family's 2925-position model. The record is from RNAcentral.
UCAAGCUACAAAGAGCACAAGGGGAAUGCCUUGGCACCGAGAGCCGAAGAAGGACGUGACUAACUGCGAUAAGCUGCGGGGAGCCGUAAGUAGGCUUUGAUCCGCAGAUUUCCGAAUGGAGCAAUCCGGCAAGAGGAAAGUCUUGUCAUCAUAUACUGAAUACAUAGGUAUAUGAGGGGAACCGCCUGAACUGAAACAUCUAAGUAGGGCGAGGAAGAGAAAUCAACUGAGAUUCCGUAAGUAGUGGCGAGCGAACGCGGAAGAGGCCAAACCGAGAGUAGUAAUACUUUCGGGGUUCGGACAGAAUACGGUAUUGUAAAGGUUUAGUGGAAUGGAAUGGGAAGUCCAACCGAAGAAGGUGAGAGUCCUGUACACGAAAAGCCUGAACAGCCAUCUGUAUCCAGAGUACCGCCGGACACGUGAAACCCGGUGGGAAUAAGGGGGGACCAUCCUCCAAGCCUAAAUACUACUCGGUGACCGAUAGUGAAGAAGUACUGUGAAGGAAAGGUGAAAAGUACCCCUGACGGGGAGUGAAAAAGAACCUGAAACCUUGUGUUUACAAGCACCGAAAGCUCAUCAAAGAGCGAUCGGGUACCUUUUGUAGAAUGGUCCGGCGAGUGAAUGUAACCGGCGAGGUUAAGCACUUAAGGUGUGAAGCCGCAGCGAGAGCAAGUCUGAAUAGGGCGUAUGAAGUCGGUUGUAUUCGACCCGAAACCGGGUGACCUACCCAUGGUCAGGUUGAAGUAAAGGUAAAACUUUAUGGAGGACCGAACCGACUCCCGUUGAAAUGGUAGCGGAUGAACUGUGGGUAGCGGAGAAAUUCCAAUCGAACCCGGAGAUAGCUGGUUCUCUCCGAAAUAGCUUUAGGGCUAGCCUUGAAAUAGAUUACCGGAGGUAAAGCACUGAAUUGGCUAGGGGCCGAGAGGUUACUGAACCUUAUCAAACUAAGAAUGCCGGAUAAUCGUUUUUCAGGAGUCAGACAGUGGGAGAUAAGUUUCAUUGUCAAAAGGGAAACAGCCCAGACCCACAGCUAAGGUCCCCAAGUAUAGUUAAGUGGAAAAGGAUGUGGAAUUGCACAGACAACCAGGAUGUUGGCUUAGAAGCAGCCACUCAUUAAAAGAGUGCGUAAUAGCUCACUGGUCGAGUGACUCUGCGCCGAAAAUUUAACGGGGCUAAACUAUACACCGAAGCUUGGGAUACAUCUAAUGUAUGGUAGGAGAGCGUUCUGUAUGGAGAGAAGUCGUAGCGAAAGCGGCGGUGGACUAUACAGAAGUGAGAAUGCCGGAAUAAGUAGCGAGAAUUAAGUGAGAAUCUUAAUGGCCGAAAGUCUAAGGUUUUUGGAGGAAGGUUCGUCCGCUCCAAGUAAGUCGGGAGCUAAGGUCAGGCCGAAAGGCGUAGCCGAUGCACAUACGGUUGAUAUUCCGUAACCAUCUGUAAUUUAAGCAAAGGGACACUUCAAAAGGGUGUGACCCGGGCGUUGGUUGACCCGGGCGUAAGGGACCGAAAUUAGAGUAGGGAAGCACACUUAGCUGAAGGCGAGAAAAGCUUUGCGUAUAGAAGCAGAUGCCCGUACCGCAAACCGACACAGGUGGACAGGAAGAGAAUUCUAAGGCCAGCGGGAGAAGGGUAGUUAAGGAACUCGGCAAAUUGACUCCGUAACUUCGGAAUAAGGAGUGCUCGAAAGAGCCGCAGAGAAUAGGCCCAGGCGACUGUUUAGCAAAAACACAGGUCUCUGCCAAAUCGAAAGAUGAAGUAUAGGGGCUGACACCUGCCCGGUGCCGGAAGGUUAAGAGGAGGAGUGAGAGCUCCGAAUUGAAGCCCCGGUAAACGGCGGCCGUAACUAUAACGGUCCUAAGGUAGCGAAAUUCCUUGUCGGGUAAGUUCCGACCCGCACGAAAGGCGUAAUGAUUUG